RNAcentral lists this unclassified non-coding RNA (349 nucleotides) under soil metagenome. Its description in RNAcentral is "partial contains 5.8S ribosomal RNA, internal transcribed spacer 2, and large subunit ribosomal RNA". The stretch from base 1 to 120 matches the Rfam family "5.8S ribosomal RNA", at positions 35 to 154 of the family's 154-position model. The record is from RNAcentral.
GAUGAAGAACGCAGCGAAAUGCGAUAACUAAUGUGAAUUGCAUAAUUCAGUGAAUCAUCGAGUCUUUGAACGCACAUUGCGCCCCCUGGUAUUCCGGGGGGCAUGCCUGUCCGAGCGUCAUUGCUGCCCUCAAGCCCGGCUUGUGUGUUGGGUCGCCGUCCCCCUCUCCGGGGGGACGGGCCCGAAAGGCAGCGGCGGCACCGCGUCCGAUCCUCGAGCGUAUGGGGCUUUGUCACAUGCUCUGUAGGAUUGGCCGGCGCCUGCCGACGUUUUCCAACCAUUUUUUCCAGGUUGACCUCGGAUCAGGUAGGGAUACCCGCUGAACUUAAGCAUAUCAAUAAGCGGAGGA